CCUACGGGAGGCAGCAGUAGGGAAUAUUGCUCAAUGGGGGAAACCCUGAAGCAGCAACGCCGCGUGGAGGAUGAAGGUUUUAGGAUUGUUAACUCCUUUUGUUAGAGAAGAUUAUGACGGUAUCUAACGAAUAAGCACCGGCUAACUCCGUGCCAGCAGCCGCGGUAAUACGGCGGGUGCAAGCGUUACUCGGAAUCACUGGGCGUAAAGAGUGCGUAGGCGGGGUAAUAAGUCAGAUGUGAAAUCCUUUAGCUUAACUACAGAACUGCAUUUGAAACUGUUACUCUGGAGUGUGGGAGAGGCAGGUGGAAUUCUUGGUGUAGGGGUAAAAUCCGUAGAGAUCAAGAGGAAUACUCAUUGCGAAGGCGACCUGCUGGAACAGUACUGACGCUGAUGCACGAAAGCGUGGGGAGCAAACAGGAUUAGAUACCCUAGUAGUC
RNAcentral lists this ribosomal RNA (440 nucleotides) under uncultured bacterium. RNAcentral describes it as "partial 16S ribosomal RNA". It matches the Rfam family "Bacterial small subunit ribosomal RNA", at positions 338 to 795 of the family's 1533-position model. The record is from RNAcentral.